Molecule: long non-coding RNA, 1342 nt
Organism: Grammomys surdaster
Lineage: Eukaryota; Metazoa; Chordata; Mammalia; Rodentia; Muridae
Exons: 4
Source: RefSeq, a predicted model, not a curated record
ACUGUCUGCUUGCACAAAGCACCCUGUGCCCUACAGGUACUGAGCAAAAUGCCAGGACAUAGCUUCUGCCUCCAGAAACCCCAUUCUCUGAAUAUUCAGUGCUUUUGGUCCCCAAAUACCUAACUGUAGCUCCAGCCAACUGGAAUAAAGACUUAUUUGGCUAUACACUAUGUCUAAAAGAUGGGUUUGCUAUAAUAUCUUGGAGACUCCAGUGAGAUCCCUUGAGACAGGAUCUUGGCAUUUAGAAGACUCCGAACCCCCAGAAAUGGGAACAAACAAAAAAGGUGGAGAGGAUUUCUAUGAGGUGUUCAUCCUAUGAGGCUUCAGGGCCCCAGGAAAAUCUCUGAGUGAUUGUUACUGCUCAGUUCUCUGAAGACACUUUAACACCACCAUCCAAAGAAGAAGAAGAAGAAGAAGAAGAAGAAGAAGAAGAAGAAGAAGAAGAUCAUCAAAGUGAUCCUGUCUGAAUACCUCUAGAGUUCUUACAGGUUUUUCAGGAAACUUGGCAGGACAUUGACUGGACUGUGAAGAGAAUCAUGCCAACGUCCACCUCACCUGCCUACCAGUUUCAGCCUGGAAACUUGGCUUGGAUAAAGCAGAUCCUUCCCUGGACCUUGGAACCUGUCUGGAAGAGAUCCAACCUAGUUAACAUACCACCUAAACUGCUGUCAAAGUCACUGGUAUCAUCUCUUGAAAAACAAAAAGCAAAAAGACCACCAAGAAUGAUGACAUAUGGACCAUUAUUUGGACUUUAGACUAAAAAUAAUGGUGUGAUUAAAAUAAUGAAGAAGAAGCUAUCAAAAGUGGAUCCAUGCUUCCAAGAUUACCAUAAAGGCAGCAGAUGUCCCAGACCUACUCUGCCAGCGGAUACCUGACAUUAAGCAAAUGGAAACUAUCACAGAAAAGUGGAACUGGAUGAAACACAGAGAACGAGAAUUGUAAAAAGUCUAGUUGCAACAGCUACAUCUCCAUCAGAGUUCCUGCAUCCAUGGCUCAGGAGCAUCGUGAGAUAGGGGCAGAAGGACUGAAGAAAGUCCAGGAAGUCAAACAGGAACCAGUCUCUCCUAGAAAUGGUCAUGCAAACAAAAUGGGAAUAAUAGUGAUAUUGGUACACAUAUUAAUGAGGAAGGGGAAAUUUCUCACAGGGUCCUACCCCUAGGCAAAACAAAACAGAAUAAAACAAACAAAAAAACAAACGAAAAAAAAACAGAACUAUAGACAACUUAUGACUUCUGGGAGAAGAAUUAGCCUCUUUUGGCAAAAAGUCUCCUUAUCAGUUGUCCAGUGCAGAGUGGUUAACUCUAAAACCAUAUAUACACAAACAAUAAAAGUGGACUCAGUA